GAGUAACUGAUCAAGGAGAAAACAAAGAAAAUAACAGUCUAGGCAGACUAUUAAAGUUUCAUUGUUUUGCUUUGCAAUUUUGUGCAAAAAUGGGAUAAGAUUUCACUUAUUUAUUUAGGAAAUAGUUACCAACAUUAUUUAGUAGUAGAAAUAAUUAGAGAACUGAAUAAAAUGUAGAAAUCUAAUUAACAGUCAAUGUAGAUGAAGCAAGAUGUUUUAGCAGCUAUAACCAAAGAUUUGAAAGUUGGGAGUCAUUUGUUGCUUUCCCUUUUUGUUGUUUUUGUUUAAGCAGUAUAUUUCUUAGUUCAGUUUACUAUUUCAGUUUAUUAAAUUUGAUAGACAGCUAUUAUGAAAUCCAUAGCAAUUUACCAAUAGAUAGCAGGGCUCACUGGUACAUGAAGUGAAACCCUGUACAUAUCUGCUUUGUAAGCUUCAGUGAGGUCAAUGGGAUUUACUCCCAGGUAACCGUGUAUAGAAUUGCAGGCGCUUUCACUUGCUUCUUGGAAAUAUCAGUGCUACUACAUAUUUAGAAAUCGUGCAUUACUAAAAAAAAAAAAAAACAUUGCUGAAUUAUAUUUGUCUAAAUUAUAUUUACUAUAAAUGUUUUAGGAAAUGAGCAACUUGGAUCAAUUUUCACAUUACAUUAAGAAGGGCAAAGCUGCAGCACAAUUAACGUGGAAAAGAUGUUGUCCUAUUCAUUUAAAUUUGGCUGAAAUGUAGCAACAGCACCUUCUUAGAUAUUAACGUUUCUGUAGUGCUAAUGUUCUCUAAAUGUUACUUAAAAUCCUCUACAAUUAGAUUUCAAUUAACAUUAAGUGUAAUCACUAGAAAGUAAGCACACUGAUUAAACAGGAGUUAAUACUAGUUGUAAUGAUCUUAUAAAUGAUCAAUUCAAUGAACCAAAAGCCUUUCUAAGCUGAAUACAAUGAACAUAGAAUUAGCUAUUAGAAAUAUUCUGUUUGAGAUUUUUUUCCCUCUCACCAUAAGAUUUUCCUAUUGCAUAUGUGUAUUGCUUGCUUAGCUCAACAAAUACUAAAAAAGAGAAGAGAAAUGAGUAUUGAAAUAUAAUCAAGGGUGACAAAUUAUGAGAAUUAUAGUCCAAAAUAUCUGGAGGGCAUGCAUUUGUCUAACCCUGAUUUUUGUAAGUGUUUUCUUUUUGAUGUGCUGAUUUAUUACAUGCAGACAUGUUUUUAAAAAAUCAGACAUAUGAAGUUAGGAGAGAUUUUCAGAUUGGACAACUGUUUGAAGGUUGCAUGUCUAAAAGUGUUGCCUAAAGGGAAAGGAGAGAGCAAAAGGAACUUUUCUAUUUUAAAAUUGGUGUGUUCUAAACAAUCAAAAAUGUAAAUCUCCUGCCUGCAAUCUGGAAUGGUAGAUUCCAGGUAUCUCUCACUCAUUCAACAACCCCAUUCUUUUAAAUCUGUAAACGGAUGAGAAUCCGUCUGGACUAUAACAUCAAAAGUCCCUUUUACUCAUUCAUUUCGGCACAAAUUAAUGCAUAGAGGAAUUGACAAUAGUUGCACCUGCUGGUGCUUCCCAUAACUAUUAACAGGGUACGAUUAUACCAAUUUUCCCCAUACUAUGUGUAUUCACCUGCAUGUAUGCAAGCUUAUUUACAUGCAAUCUGUGGCCCUGGAAAGUAGAAGGCUCUUUAUGGAAAUCAAUGGACAUUCUGUUUUUGUGCAUAUGUAGAAAAGGCCAGAGUUGGGAAAGGGUUGACAAAAAGUAUAUUUUCCCACUCAAUGUACAGCAUAUUUUGGGAAAUUCCGGUGUUUGUGUUAAUGCAUGUCUAGUACACAGUUCGCUUCAGUAGUAAUGGAGUGCAUUUUUUUGCUUGUGUUCAGUAUUAAAACUCUCAGCCCAUUUUAGCCUCUAGAUGUGUUUUCCCACUUGAGCACCAAGGAAAUGUGUUGUUCAACAGUAGAUUCCGAAUGAAGUCCCUGGAUAGACAGGAUUGGGUACUUGGAUUUAAUAUAUAGUAGCUAUUCAUAUACAAAAAAAUUGUUUAAUGGUGUACUGGGAAUUAUGCCAAUAGAGGACAAAUGAGAAUGUUCUAAGAUAUUAUUUCCUAUUUUCUAUUAAAGCAACUAUCAGGAAGGGACUGCUAUAGGAUUCCCUCACCCCUGCCAAUCAAUAGCAGAAAACAGGAAGGAAAAGGCUUUUCUGGGUCUUUUGUCAAUCAAUUCCUGUGUACACAUCUAAGCUGGGCAUUCCCUGGGUUGGAUUCGAACCGGCAACCUUCAGGUCAGCAACCCAACCUUCAGGUCAGCAGUCCUGACGGCACAAGGGUUUAACCCACUACACUACAUGUAGGAUGGGAAAGGACUGCAUUUUUUCUCAGAUAAAGCCAGAAACAACGAAGCUCUUAUUCUAUGGUAAAUUUCAGGAAGGAUAUUAUUCAGGUGGGGGCAUGUGGAAUUUACCCUAGAUUUGUGUGGAUGAUCUCGAGGAUGGACGUGACCUGAGGAAAUAAAUUGAUGAAUGGCACCACUGUAAAGCUGAAACAGUUAAUCAUAUUUUUCAAAGGCUACAUGGAUUUCUUUUAAAAGUUGCACUGAUGUAGAGGUAAACCUGCCAAAAAUUAAUGAUGUGAGCUGCAAGCAAACUCACGUUCAUUACUAUGGGAACUAUAUCACAUUUAAAAUCCAUUUAAAUGGUUAUAGGUCAGGAAUCUGUUGAAUAAUGCAUCUGUAAAAUAAAAUAUCAUGCUGCUUGAUACCCAAAGGAAUUACUCCAAAGUAAAAACAUGAAAUAGCAUUUCUUUUUACUGUGCAAAAGCACUUAGAAAGAGCAACUAGUCUUAAGGCAAUUUCCCUUUAUUUAUAUGUUAAAUAUUCCCAAUAAAAAUAAAAAUCAAUAAUUAGAAAAACUUCAGUGCAACCUCCUUAUAUAUUCUACAUGGCACAAGCCAAUAAUGAUAGUCUAUAAAGCCAGGACAACUUUUCACGGAGAUAGAUUAAGAAAAACCUUGGACAGCAUUAGGAUGUCUACAAUUUCUAGUGUCACCUAUAUUAUUUGUACUUUUUAAAGUUCUAUGUUCACAAACAACUUCAAAAUAAAGUGAGAUAUCUAGUUGUUGAUAUAACUAGAUAUAACUAACAUUAUACCAGGUUUUGAUUUUAAAAAUGAGGAAUGGAAAUUAAAGAAAAUGAUAAGCAAUUAAUCUUACAUAUUAUCUGCUGGAAGAAUUCAGUCUUUUAUAUAUGUGACCAAGAAUGAUGAGAUUACGAGCCAAUGUGAUAUCCUACAGUAAAUGAAAACAUAUGCCAUUUUUAUUUGCUUGUUUGUUUUUGUGAAUUGUGAGCUAAGGCAUGACUGAAUUGUUAACUUGGGUUAAGAAUCGAUUGACUAAAUUUGGAGAAAAUAAAAAUUGCAUAAAAAUCUAUGUUCAAGGCAUUCCUGUUUAGAUCAAUACCAUUGGCAUAAAAGAUCCACUGGGGUUUGGUUCCAGGACUUCCCGUGGAUAUCAAAACCCGUGGAUACUGAAGCCCCAUUAUUUAAAGUGGUCUAGUAAAAUAGUAAGGAACCCCGGUGGUGAAGUUAAAGCACUGAGCUGCUGAACUUGCAGACCGGAAGGUCCCAGGUUCAAACCCCGGGAGCGGCGUGAGCUGCCGCUGUUAGCUCCAGCUUCUGCCAACCUAGCAGUUUGAAAACAUGCCAAUGUGAGUAGAUCAAUAGGUACCGCUCUGGCAGGAAGGUAACGGCGCUCCAUGCAGUCAUGCCGGCCACAUGACCUUGGAGGUGUAUACGGACAACGCCGGCUCUUCGGCUUAGAAAUGGAGAUGAGCACCAACCCCCAUAGUUGGUCACAACUGGACUUAAUGUCAGGGGGAAACCUUUACCUUUAUCUUUAGUAAAAUAGCACCCUUUAUACAAAAUGGCAAAAUCAAAGUUUGCUUAUUGUAUUUUUUAAAGAAAGGUUUUUUUCAAAUUGUGGAUAAUGAAAUCCAUGGAUAUGGAUGCUGUGAAAAUGUAUCAGAUAUUGAGAAUAAUUGUGAAAGAGCUGAAUGUAUCAGAUGUUGAGAAUAAUUAUAAAAGGAUGGCGACCACCAACAUCUCCCACAUGUAGGCUUCUAGAGACAUCUGGAUGGCCACUAUUGGAAACUGAAAGCUAGGCCAGAUAGACUAAAAAUUAAUAAGAUAUAUCCCCAAAAGGAGGACACAUUAACCUAACAUUUGCAUAUAGAAUCACGAUUGGAAAGUUGGGAAAGGUAACAUAAUUGAGUCAUUUAAUCUCACCCUUUACUUUUGUCAUAGCAUGUCUGAAUUACAUGUGUAAAUGCAUUUAGCAAUUCAGAAAUAACUGUUAUUGAAACAUAAAUACAGUAUAUCUAGCUGCAGUGGGAAAAACUAGAGGUGAUAGCAGCUAACUAUUGGUGAGGAAUGACAAAUGCCUUGAUUCUCCCUUCUUAUAUACAACAGUGUCUCCCUUAUCCAACAUAAACAGGCCAGCAGAACGUUGAAUAAGCAAAAUGUUGGAUAACAAGGAGAGAUUAUGGGAAAGCCUAUUAAACAUAAAAUUACAUUAUAAUUUUACAAAUUAAGCACCAAAACAUCAUGUUUUAUAACAAAUCAACAGAAAAAGCAGUUCAAUACGUGGUAACGUUAUGUAGUAAUUACACUGUAUUUACAAAUUUAGCACCAAAACAUCACAGUGUAUUGAAAACAUUGACUACAAAACAUUGACUACUAAAAGGCAGAGUGCGUUGGAUAAUACAGAACUUUGGAUGAGCAAAGGUUGGAUAAGCAAGACUCUACUGUAUGUUUAAAUAGAAUCUGGACUGAAAAUCGAAUCAAAUAAGAGAACAGUUGCCGGAAAACACAUCAAACCAAGGGCUGCACUUUGUAAUGUAGGACACAAGGCCAUCCUAGCACCCUAUAUUGAGCUUGCAAUAUAUGUUUUAUUAUCUGAAUUGUGAGGUUUUAAUAUAUAUCUCACAACCUCUAAGGAUGCCUGCCAUAGAUGUGGGCAAAACGUCAGGAGAGAAUGCUUCUGGAACAUGGCCAUACAGCCCGGAAAACUCACAGCAACCCAAGGUUUUAAUUAUUAGACUAUGAGAAUCUGGGCUGUUUCAUUCAUGGGGAUUUUUUCAUGACCUUAAACAAUGGAAAAUAAUGCAUCUAGAAACACCAAAUGGCUCUGUGUUCUGCCUAUUUCAUACACAAAUUCUUUCUUGGUUUCCUUGUCUUCAAGCAUAAUCAUAAAGAGAAAAUUAGCAAUAUUUCUGUGAGGAAAAUAGCCUUGUGAAAGAGACCUACAUUAAAAGUAGCUUUCCACCGAAUAAAGAAUGUGCAGUAUAGAAAGAUGUUCUUUUGUUUGCUUUUUUGGCUCCUGACGUUAUUUUUCAUGCCAGCAAGUCACUCCAAUUAUUAUUCUAACAUGAGUGUAAGACUUUAAUAGUGAAGCAAAGGAAGUUGUAUAUUAACCCCUCAACCCCUCUCUAGUACAUAUGCUCUGUUGAAUAUGUUUUGUUUGAAGUGCAAUUGAAUUGCCCUGAAUUCCAUCUGCAAUUAUUCCUCGACAGACAUUCAUUUUCAGUUUGCUGUACACGACAAGAAAUGACUGGAUUUUUUCCUUAAUUGAUGUAUCUAGCUGGUUACUAAACAGAGAGA
Anolis carolinensis (green anole) is the source of this 5610-nucleotide long non-coding RNA. RefSeq lists it as uncharacterized. The record is from RefSeq and is a predicted model, not a curated record. NCBI's taxonomy places the organism in Eukaryota, Metazoa, Chordata, Lepidosauria, Squamata, Anolidae. The transcript has 2 exons.